GAUGAACGUUGGCGGCGUGCCUAAUACAUGCAAGUCGAACGAAGACUGUAGUAAUACUGUCUUAGUGGCGAACGGGUGAGUAACGCGUGGGUGACCUGCCCCGAAGUGUGGGAUAACAGUUCGAAAGGAUUGCUAAUACUGCAUAAUAUCCAAGAGAUUAGACGCUUUUGGAUUAAAGGAGUAAUUCGCUUCGGGAGGGGCCCGCGUCCCAUCAGCUAGUUGGUAAGGUAAUGGCUUACCAAGGCGAUGACGGGUAGGGGACCUGAGAGGGUGGCCCCCCACAAUGGAACUGAAACACGGUCCAUACACCUACGGGUGGCAGCAGUAGGGAAUAUUAGUAAUGGGCGAAAGCCUGAACUAGCAACGCCGCGUGUGCGAAGAAGGCCUUCGGGUCGUAAGCACUUUUGUAGAGGAUGAGGAAGGACGGUACUCUCAGAAUAAGUCUCGGCUAACUACGUG
RNAcentral lists this ribosomal RNA (459 nucleotides) under uncultured bacterium. Its description in RNAcentral is "bacterial SSU rRNA". It matches the Rfam family "Bacterial small subunit ribosomal RNA", at positions 28 to 507 of the family's 1533-position model. The record is from RNAcentral.